RNAcentral lists this long non-coding RNA (451 nucleotides) under Numida meleagris (helmeted guineafowl). RNAcentral's name for it is "lncRNA (ENSNMEG00000004094.1)". The record is from RNAcentral. Lineage: Eukaryota; Metazoa; Chordata; Aves; Galliformes; Numididae.
CCAACAGCGUCACAUUGGAUCCCAACAGCAACACCCCAUCCCAACAGUGUGACUCUUGAAGGCGGCAUCGGAUCCCGACACAACACCUCAUCCCAACAGUGUAACAUCAGAUCCCAACACAGCAACACCUUAAUGCAACACCCCAUCCCAACAGUGCGACUCUUGAAGGCAGCGUUGGAUCCCAACGCAACGCCCCAUCCCAACAGUGCGACACUUGAAGGCGGCAUCGGAUCCCGACACAACGCCCCAUCCCAACAGCAAAACCCGAACGCAACACCCGAUCCCAACAGUGCGACUCUUGAAGGCAGCGUCGGAUCCCGAAACAACACCCCAUCCCAAGAGCGUAACAUUGGAUCCCCAUGCAACAACACCUGAAUGCGACACCCGAUCCCAAUGCGACACCCGAAUGCAACAGCCCAUCCCAACAGUGCCACACUUGAAGGCAGCGUUG